UACGGAGGGGGCAAGCGUUGUUCGGAAUUACUGGGCGUAAAGGGCGCGCAGGCGGCUGCUCAAGUCAGGCGUGAAAGGCCUGGGCUCAACCCGGGAAUUGCGCUUGAGACUGGGCUGGCUUGAGUGCGGGAGAGGAUGGUGGAAUUCCCAGUGUAGAGGUGAAAUUCGUAGAUAUCGGGAGGAACACCUGUGGCGAAAGCGGCGCACUGGACCACAACUGACGCUGAGGCGCGAAAGCUAGGGGAGCAAACAGG
RNAcentral lists this ribosomal RNA (254 nucleotides) under uncultured bacterium. RNAcentral describes it as "partial 16S ribosomal RNA". It matches the Rfam family "Bacterial small subunit ribosomal RNA", at positions 524 to 776 of the family's 1533-position model. The record is from RNAcentral.